AGCCGAGCUCGGGGCACACCCGAGCUCGGACCGGGCUGGCGCGGCUCCCCGAGCGUUGGUGACCUCAUGCCGCAGACACGGAUGAGGUCACCGCGAUAAUUGCCCUCCCAGAAGGAUGGAUCUUGCGGGAAGAGGAUGUUGUGAAGCCGGCGAACUUGCCGGGGCGAAAAAAACACCUCGCACGCCCCUGGCCGGGAGUGCUCCGAGGGGAAACAUCCCCGGAGCGUGCCAGGAGCGGCGGGGGCAUGGCAGGAGAAGAGACGGCGGCAGCGGGAUGCGGAGCCGGGGAUAAUUGCUGCAGGAAGCCCCGUGACAGGUAUUUGAAAAGAAGCUGAGCACAAUCCUAUCAAACCUCCGCAGUUCCUGGGACAAGCCAGACUUUAAGGAGUCGGAGUCCGAGCGAGUUUCACAAGAAAACAAACAGAAAUACUUCUGUCGCUGCAGAGAACAGAAAAGGAAAAAAAAAAAAAUAAAAGAAAAAGAAGAAGUCGGGGGGGGGGAGAAAUCGCAGCACUGUGGAAAAAAAAAAUCAACUCUUUCCUGAAUAAAGCAGAAAAAAAAAAAAAAAAA
This is a long non-coding RNA of Haemorhous mexicanus (house finch), 570 nucleotides long. RefSeq lists it as uncharacterized. The transcript has 2 exons. Lineage: Eukaryota; Metazoa; Chordata; Aves; Passeriformes; Fringillidae. The record is from RefSeq and is a predicted model, not a curated record.